ACGAGUUUUAAUUGUUAGGUUAGAGUUGAGCUGGUUAAUCUAAUUAAUAUGUGCUUACUCUAAUCGAAACAAGUCCACUCAUUACUUAACACUUGUGAACUUAUUCAUUACAAACAUUAUUAUUUGUUAUUGGAGACGUUUGAUUAUUAAAAAGUUAAUA
Molecule: unclassified non-coding RNA, 160 nt
Filed under: soil metagenome
Description: partial internal transcribed spacer 1
Source: RNAcentral